Long non-coding RNA from Pan troglodytes (chimpanzee), 265 nucleotides. RefSeq lists it as uncharacterized. The record is from RefSeq and is a predicted model, not a curated record. The transcript is spliced from 2 exons. Lineage: Eukaryota; Metazoa; Chordata; Mammalia; Primates; Hominidae.
CCUGAAAAGAAAAUGACGUUGGCCGGGCGCGGUGGCUCACGCCUGCAGUCCCAGCACUUUGGGAGGCCGAGACGGGCGGAUCACGAGGUGGUGAAAUUGAAGCCCACGCAGCAGGGUUGCAACUGAAACUUCAUCUCUGCAAAACCUUCCUGCAUUCCCAGGCAACUUUUCUUCUGAGGCCUUGUUUGAUUCAUCCCCUUACCCCAGUGGAACUCAGAUAUUCAAAAUGGUAUUAAUUAAAACCACUGGCUGUCAUUGGUCCAUG